Non-coding RNA from Aedes albopictus (Asian tiger mosquito), 69 nucleotides. The record is from Rfam. NCBI's taxonomy places the organism in Eukaryota, Metazoa, Arthropoda, Insecta, Diptera, Culicidae.
UCAAAGUCUUGACGAAAGGCCAACGGGCCAAAACGUCAACUGAUGAGUCCUUGAUGGACGAAACUUUGU